RNAcentral lists this small nuclear RNA (184 nucleotides) under Phalacrocorax carbo (great cormorant). Its description in RNAcentral is "U2 spliceosomal RNA". It matches the Rfam family "U2 spliceosomal RNA". Rfam says of the family: U2 is a small nuclear RNA (snRNA) component of the spliceosome (involved in pre-mRNA splicing). Complementary binding between U2 snRNA (in an area lying towards the 5' end but 3' to hairpin I) and the branchpoint sequence (BPS) of the intron results the bulging out of an unpaired adenosine, on the BPS, which initiates a nucleophilic attack at the intronic 5' splice site, thus starting the first of two transesterification reactions that mediate splicing. The record is from Rfam by way of RNAcentral. Lineage: Eukaryota; Metazoa; Chordata; Aves; Suliformes; Phalacrocoracidae.
AUUGUUUCUCGGCCUUUUGGCUAAGGUCAUGUGUAGUGUCUGUUCUUAUCAGUUUAUUAUCUCAUAUGUCCUCAAUGAGAGGACUUUAUAUUAAAUUAAUUUUGGGGCCCAGGAGUUUUUGGGGUGUUUUUAACUUUUAAUGGUUGGACUCGAUCAUCUCAAAGGUCUUUCCAACCCAAACAAU